Benincasa hispida (wax gourd) is the source of this 692-nucleotide non-coding RNA. Lineage: Eukaryota; Viridiplantae; Streptophyta; Magnoliopsida; Cucurbitales; Cucurbitaceae. The record is from RefSeq and is a predicted model, not a curated record.
ACCCCCCUCCGUUUUUUCGCCAGCCACCAACCUCGACCACCAAUUCAGAUCUCCCUGCCGCUCGUCGCCAACCUUGAUCGCAGCCCAGAUCCGAGUCGCGAUCAACCCAGAUCCGACUUCGGCCUCUUCGCGUCUCAGGCGUUCUCGUCGCCCAGAUCUGACUUCGACCUUCCACGCCGAAGCCGCCCGCGUCCGAGCCGCAAGUCCUUCUGCCACUCGACUCGUCGCGCCACCGCCUGCACCAGCUACGUCCCUGAGCAUUCUGCCUUUUCUCUUCAACUCGUCGCUGACCGGAGCCUCCAACAGCCAGCCACAUCUAUCCGGCGCUGCCCAGCUCCUGUCGCCGCCGUCGUUGCUUGUGCCGUCAUUAGAUUUAUCAACUUGGGUAAGAUUUCUACUGUUUGGGGUUGUUUUCAAUUGAUUCUUGACUGCCCAUUUACUUUUGGCACCAAUCGAUUGAGGCCUUUAUGUGUCAACUUUGGAUUCAUGUUCUUGAAGAUAUUAAGGUGUUUUUAGGUGAAGUUGGAAUUGUUUUGCAGAUUUGGUGCGCUUCAUAUCACACCUUAGGGUCUUACUUGGAGUUGCUAGUUUCGUUGGCUGUCUGAGAUUAUCUGCGGAUUUUUGAUUUAGGUAAAGGUAGAGAUGCAUUGGCGAUGGACAAGCGGAAUUCGUGAUCGAGCCAUUGGGACUAG